Non-coding RNA from Podarcis lilfordi (Lilford's wall lizard), 70 nucleotides. Lineage: Eukaryota; Metazoa; Chordata; Lepidosauria; Squamata; Lacertidae. The record is from the annotation of a GenBank genome assembly.
GGGAUAGCUCAGUCUGUAGAGCAUGAGACUCUUAAUUUUAGGGUUGUGGGUUUGAGCCCCACUUUGGGCA